GUGAACAUUUAUUGAUCGCCACUCUAAUUUGCCUAGAGUUGUACACUUUGCCAAACAUCUGCUAUUUGCUGUAAGAGAGUCACUUCUGUUGAUAGGUAAUAGGUUAGUCCUUGUGCCAGAGUGGCAUGAUUAUUAAUAUAAGAAUUCAAAAUGUUCAUUGUCAAAGCAACUAGAGUUUCUACAUUGAUGAAUUUAAUGUCUCUGUCUAUGAAAGCUUUACGAACCAAAUGUCAGAAUCUGGAUGGAUGUCUACAUUGAUGUAGUUAGUGUCUCUAUCUAUAUAUGUUUUCUUCAUUUUGUACCCCUGAUUGAAAAUCAUGAGUAACUUCAAUUUCUUAUGUUGAGGGUUCGUG
This 353-nucleotide unclassified non-coding RNA is filed under the name Hevea brasiliensis (rubber tree). The record is from RNAcentral. Lineage: Eukaryota; Viridiplantae; Streptophyta; Magnoliopsida; Malpighiales; Euphorbiaceae.